Molecule: ribosomal RNA, 496 nt
Filed under: uncultured bacterium
Lineage: Bacteria
Description: partial 16S ribosomal RNA
Rfam family: Bacterial small subunit ribosomal RNA
Source: RNAcentral
GAUGAACGCUGGCGGCGUGCCUAAUACAUGCAAGUCGAGCGAACAGACGAGGAGCUUGCUCCUUUGACGUUAGCGGCGGACGGGUGAGUAACACGUGGGAACCUACCUAUAAGACUGGGAUAACUUCGGGAAACCGGAGCUAAUACCGGAUAAUAUUUCGAACCGCAUGGUUCGAUAGUGAAAGAUGGCUUUGCUAUCACUUAUAGAUGGACCUGCGCCGUAUUAGCUAGUUGGUAAGGUAACGGCUUACCAAGGCAACGAUACGUAGCCGACCUGAGAGGGUGAUCGGCCACACUGGAACUGAGACACGGUCCAGACUCCUACGGGAGGCAGCAGUAGGGAAUCUUCCGCAAUGGGCGAAAGCCUGACGGAGCAACGCCGCGUGAGUGAUGAAGGUCUUCGGAUCGUAAAACUCUGUUAUUAGGGAAGAACAAACGUGUAAGUAACUGUGCACGUCUUGACGGUACCUAAUCAGAAAGCCACGGCUAACUACGUG